This 1385-nucleotide long non-coding RNA is filed under the name Homo sapiens (human). Its description in RNAcentral is "long intergenic non-protein coding RNA 494". The record is from RNAcentral. Lineage: Eukaryota; Metazoa; Chordata; Mammalia; Primates; Hominidae.
GUGGCUCCAGCCACACCCACCUCCCUGCUGUUCCUCACCCAGGAUCACCAAGGUCUCUCCUACCCCGGGGCCUGUGCACCUGCUGUGCCUCUGCUUGGGGUGCUCUUCCCAGGGCUUGCCCACCUCCUCAGAGAGGCCUCCUGACCCCUGACACGGCCUUGCCCUUCACCUCUAUCGUCCUUUAGAACAGCCCCCACCUCCCGCACAUCAUGCAGUUGCAGGUUCAAUGGCUACUGCUUGUCCUCCAGACUCGAUAGGCCUCAUCACUCCUCAGAUGAUUCUCGAAGGAUAACACACAGGCCAGUGGGCAGCCCUAGGCCAGGGGGAUUACCAAGACAUGAAGACUUUCUUUCUGUCUCAGCAACCUUCAUGCUUGGUCAAGCAAAGGUGUUGCUUAAGUCAAACCCAGGGCAGGGGAGAGCAGUUGAAGCAAAGUGAGUCUUUGGAGGCCCUGUGGUUGUGGGGUCUGGUGUGGAGACAGUGAGAACGGAAAAGGUGGGAGAGGAGCAGUCAACCCGUGAAUGGCCCCAUUCAGACGCCUUUACCUGGAAGACGUGGCAGGAACAGUCAUCAGGAGGGGGCACAGUUGGAUUCUCUCCAGUGAAGAUGUCAGGAUGGACAGAAAUGUCAGCGUAAUCCAAAGAGGACACAAACACCCCUGCUAUUUUCUUGUCACCAGGAAAAGGCCAGCUCUAGGUCUACUGGGGUUCAUCCCAUCUGAGCCAGGCCUGGCUUUUCUUGGCUGCAAGCUGAGAGCUGGGUCCAGGUCUGCUGAACCAAGGUUCUCCCAUCUUCCUUGAGCCAGUGACAAUCAGAGGCCUAUUUCUUUCAUGACGGAAGGCAGGAGAACAAGCAGGCAAGACCAGCUGUGCUAGCACAUGGCACCCCUUUCCCACAUCACACCUGCUAACAUCCCAUUGUUCAAAGCAAGUAACACAACCAAACCCAAUAUCAACAGGACAAGAAAACAGACUCCACCUCUAGGUGCACAAACUACAGAGUCACGGACAGAGAACACAGAUCUAGGGAAGGAAGCUGGAGAAUGAGAACAAUGACCCUCAAUAACACAACCUCCCACAGGUUUCCAAAUCCCCAACCUGAGCAUAUUUCCAAGGAAACGGAAUCAUGGGUUCAGGGUUUUAGAGCAAGCAAUUUCUGCUCUCCCAGCUUAGUUUCCAUACCCUUAACACAGGGGCAAUGACGUCGCAUCGAAUCAUAUCUUAUAAGUCUGUGAUGAUGUUUCAACAACUGAACGCCAGAAAAGUGCUUAGAGCAAGGCCAGGUAGGAGGGACAGAAGCCAAUAAUAAUGAGUAGCAUCACUGUUAACCCGCAAAAUUCUGGGAAUUUCCUCGAAAGUCUAAUUAGAGAAUCAUGUCCCCAACAA